Molecule: unclassified non-coding RNA, 293 nt
Filed under: uncultured fungus
Lineage: Eukaryota; Fungi
Description: partial contains 5.8S ribosomal RNA, internal transcribed spacer 2, and large subunit ribosomal RNA
Source: RNAcentral
AACGCACCUUGCGCUCCCGAGGCAUUCCUCGGAGCAUGUCUGUCUGAGUGUCUCUUUUCACUCUGUCGAUGGGUCUCGCCUGGGGGUGAGACGUUUCGACGGGAUCGUGGGGGUGUUCGGCGCGCGCCGUCUCCCAAAAGAGCGAUACGCCCGAGCCGUGGGCGGUGGCGUCCGACGUUGUAAGCGCAGCGCGUUCCUCGUUGGGUGCGCCGUCCGGAUAAGCUCGGCGACCAACGAAGACGAAUACUUGAUCAUUAGACCUCAGAUCAGGCAGGACUACCCGCUGAACUUAA